RNAcentral lists this ribosomal RNA (203 nucleotides) under uncultured bacterium. Its description in RNAcentral is "partial 16S ribosomal RNA". It matches the Rfam family "Bacterial small subunit ribosomal RNA", at positions 324 to 540 of the family's 1533-position model. The record is from RNAcentral.
AUUCGGUCCAGACUCCUACGGGAGGCAGCAGUGAGGAAUAUUCCACAAUGGGCGAAAGCCUGAUGGAGCAAUGCCGCGUGCAGGAUGAAGGCCUUCGGGUUGUAAACUGCUUUUAUAUGAGAAGACUAUGACGGUAACAUAUGAAUAAGGACCGGCUAACUACGUGCCAGCAGCCGCGGUAAUACGUAGGAUCCAAGCGAUCC